This 894-nucleotide ribosomal RNA is filed under the name Aspergillus glaucus. Its description in RNAcentral is "SSU rRNA". It matches the Rfam family "Eukaryotic small subunit ribosomal RNA", at positions 559 to 1478 of the family's 1831-position model. Lineage: Eukaryota; Fungi; Ascomycota; Eurotiomycetes; Eurotiales; Aspergillaceae. The record is from RNAcentral.
UUCUGGUUGCCCAACAGCCGCGGUAAUUCCAGCUCCAAUAGCGUAUAUUAAAGUUGUUGCAGUUAAAAAGCUCGUAGUUGAACUUUGGGUCUGGCUGGCCGGUCCGCCUCACCGCGAGUACUGGUCCGGCUGGACCUUUCCUUCUGGGGAACCUCAUGGCCUUCACUGGCUGUGGGGGGAACCAGGACUUUUACUGUGAAAAAAUUAGAGUGUUCAAAGCAGGCCUUUGCUCGAAUACAUUAGCAUGGAAUAAUAGAAUAGGACGUGCGGUUCUAUUUUGUUGGUUUCUAGGACCGCCGUAAUGAUUAAUAGGGAUAGUCGGGGGCGUCAGUAUUCAGCUGUCAGAGGUGAAAUUCUUGGAUUUGCUGAAGACUAACUACUGCGAAAGCAUUCGCCAAGGAUGUUUUCAUUAAUCAGGGAACGAAAGUUAGGGGAUCGAAGACGAUCAGAUACCGUCGUAGUCUUAACCAUAAACUAUGCCGACUAGGGAUCGGGCGGUGUUUCUAUGAUGACCCGCUCGGCACCUUACGAGAAAUCAAAGUUUUUGGGUUCUGGGGGGAGUAUGGUCGCAAGGCUGAAACUUAAAGAAAUUGACGGAAGGGCACCACAAGGCGUGGAGCCUGCGGCUUAAUUUGACUCAACACGGGGAAACUCACCAGGUCCAGACAAAAUAAGGAUUGACAGAUUGAGAGCUCUUUCUUGAUCUUUUGGAUGGUGGUGCAUGGCCGUUCUUAGUUGGUGGAGUGAUUUGUCUGCUUAAUUGCGAUAACGAACGAGACCUCGGCCCUUAAAUAGCCCGGUCCGCGUUUGCGGGCCGCUGGCUUCUUAGGGGGACUAUCGGCUCAAGCCGAUGGAAGUGCGCGGCAAUAACAGGUCAGUAUGUGCCCUAUAGAA